RNAcentral lists this long non-coding RNA (2117 nucleotides) under Carica papaya (papaya). RNAcentral describes it as "long non-coding RNA (CPAP_LNC011378)". Lineage: Eukaryota; Viridiplantae; Streptophyta; Magnoliopsida; Brassicales; Caricaceae. The record is from RNAcentral.
AAAAAAAAAUACAAACUUGCAAAAGGCUUACUGACCUCGCGGCCUCCCCAACUUGCUUGGAAAACUCUCAACUCGACACCAGAGAAAAGAGGAGCCGCCUCGCUCUCUCUCUGUCUGUCUCUCUAUUUCUUUUUCUGUCACACACUCUAAACCCGACCCAGAAGCCUGAAAACGAAUUUGAGGUACUUUGCAGCUCCUGAUCCUCUUCCUAAACGUAGUCGUUUACUGGGUAUUAGCUGUUUUCUCUCUCUUUUGACUUGUAAUGGGAGCAUCAUUUUUUUUUUCCUUCACCAAUGGGUGUUGUUUGUUCUGUUUUUUGGUUAUUUUGAACAUGCGUUUAUUGGUUUAUUUUUAGAUGUAGAGCAGAGUUUUAUUCUUCCACGAAUUUCUUGUUAUUGUGUUAUCCUAAGGUUGUUUUGGUUGGUCUUUUUGGGUAAAGGAAGGAACUUUGGUGGUAGAUUUGAGGGGUGAGAAUGGUCUGAGUUUCUAUUUUUGUUUUUUUAGUAUAUUUUUGUAAUUUUGUUAUAUAUUAUCCGGCGUUUAGAGCAGGACUUGCUGUGGACUUUGCGUCUUGUUCACUUUUACUUAGAUUUGAUUGUUUGAAAGAGAGCUUUAUGAUAUAGUUUGAAAUAGUGGUGGUAAUUUUAGAUUUUUGUAUCUAUUCUAAUUUUAGAUGGUCAAGUUGCAUUGGUAAGAACAAUGUUGGAAACAAGAACAUAAUGGUUCCCCUGUCAAUUGUUAAUCGGAUAGGUAAAUACCGUCUUCUUUUUUCUGAUCCAUUCACGUUUUUUCUGCUUAAUUUCUUGCCCUCCUCUUGAUUGGCGCUAUAAGCUACGGUGGAAGGAGGGAUGUGUUAAUGUUCGAAGGAAUGGUAGCUGUAUCAAUGGGAAAACAGUUACAUAUAGCUUGAAAAUUUUGUUUUGGUCUGAACAGAGAGGGAAACAACCAUUCUCACUACAGUAAUGUUUUCUUAAAGUUAUUCUGUUAGAAUUUGGGUUAAAAAAGAUUUUCUUCUUUCUUGUUCAGAGCAAUGGGUCAAAAGUAUCUACAUCAUUAUCAACCAAGAGAUACUUUGUCGAAUAACUAAGUUAUGUCAUUAUGUUGUAUGACACGGUUUAAACUGAAGAUUAACAAAAGAAGUGAUUUCCUUGAUGUUUCUGUUGGAUAAAUGCAAUACUAGAUUUUGGAAAGGAGUAUGGUUCAUAUGGUCACAGGUUGCAGAAAUGUGGUUGUUUUAGUCAGUGUUAUGUGAUUAUCCAUUAACUUUCUUAUAUUACCAUGCUUACUAGGAAUUGACUGUCAGUGCUCCUUCUUUGUCCAUUUUGUACUUGGCCAAAUUUGGUUGUUGAAGGAAUUAUAUAGUUGCAGGUUGCAGGUAUAAUAGUUCAGUUUAAUCUUAUGUUCUUGCUUUUGCGUGGUCUUUCACCUAUGAACACUGGUUUAAUUGCUGCGCCAACUUCGUCAACAUCUGUUAACUUGUUUAGAUGCUAAGAUGCCCUUUUCUUUUGAUUAAGUACUUUAAUGGUGCACAUACUGGAUUUGCGUAGAGAAAUUACAAUCUGGCUGCUAGUUGGAACAUUGUUUUAUUAAUGUGUACUCUUUGGAACCUUAGUUCCGUUUACGGGGUUGGACUUGAGGAGCUCUGUAUCAUUUAGUAGUAUGGUUUUAUAAAUAUUGUCCUUUUGGGGUCAACUAGGAAUGCUGAAAGUGAGGAGAUAUCUGUUAUAUAGAAACACAUCUUUUGGAUGUGAUUAAGUGGCCUAGAAAAACUUGAUUUGGAUGAUGAGUGGUCAUAUGCCAGGCUGUUCUUUUGCUUUCUCAAGAUUGAUCACUUGCCAGGCAUGGGGUGACAUCUUAAAUCGUAUUGAAUCUGGUGAAAUUUAGUUGCUUCUACAUGUAAAGAAUAUAUUGCUCACAUAUAGAUCAAGAAUAGUUGCUUUUUCUUUCAGGGGCAAGCACAAAGACGGAUGAUGAACGAGUUUUCUUUUUUGCAUAUUUGAGGAAGAUCUGCUGUAGCUAUUUAUGUAUUAUCCUCUUCUUUAUCAUUGUUCACCUUUAUGUGCUAUCACAUUUGCAGAUUAUGUUACGAGCAAACAAAUUGUAGCCUUUCCAAUGGU